GACGAACGCUGGCGGCGUGCUUAACACAUGCAAGUCGAACGGAAAGGCCCUGCUUUUGUGGGGUGCUCGAGUGGCGAACGGGUGAGUAACACGUGAGUAACCUGCCCUUGACUUUGGGAUAACUUCAGGAAACUGGGGCUAAUACCGGAUAGGAGCUCCUGCUGCAUGGUGGGGGUUGGAAAGUUUCGGCGGUUGGGGAUGGACUCGCGGCUUAUCAGCUUGUUGGUGGGGUAGUGGCUUACCAAGGCUUUGACGGGUAGCCGGCCUGAGAGGGUGACCGGCCACAUUGGGACUGAGAUACGGCCCAGACUCCUACGGGAGGCAGCAGGGGGGAAUAUUGCACAGUGGGCGGAAGCCUGAUGCAGCGACGCCGCGUGCGGGAUGACGGCCUUCGGGUUGUAAACCGCUUUCGCCUGUGACGAAGCGUGAGUGACGGUAAUGGGUAAAGAAGCACCGGCUAACUACGUG
This 468-nucleotide ribosomal RNA is filed under the name uncultured bacterium. RNAcentral describes it as "partial 16S ribosomal RNA". It matches the Rfam family "Bacterial small subunit ribosomal RNA", at positions 28 to 507 of the family's 1533-position model. The record is from RNAcentral.